CACAUGCAAGUCGAGGGGCAUCGGGAACAUAGCUUGCUUUCUUUGCCGGCGACCGGCGCACGGGUGAGUAACACGUAUCCAACCUGCCCUUUACUCGGGGAUAGCCUUUCGAAAGAAAGAUUAAUACCCGAUAGUAUAAUGAUUCCGCAUGGUUUCAUUAUUAAAGGAUUCCGGUAAAGGAUGGGGAUGCGUUCCAUUAGGUUGUUGGUGAGGUAGCGGCCCACCAAGCCUUCGAUGGAUAGGGGUUCUGAGGGGAAGGUCCCCCACAUUGGAACUGAGACACGGUCCAAACUCCUACGGGAGGCAGCAGUGAGGAAUAUUGGUCAAUGGGCGCUAGCCUGAACCAGCCAAGUAGCGUGAAGGAUGAAGGCUCUAUGGGUCGUAAACUUCUUUUAUAUAAGAAUAAAGUGCAGUAUGUAUACUGUUUUGUAUGUAUUAUAUGAAUAAGGAUCGGCUAACUCCGUGCCAGCAGCCGCGGUAGUACGGAGGAUCCGAGCGUUAUCCGGAUUUAUUGGGUUUAAAGGGAGCGUAGGUGGACUGGUAAGUCAGUUGUGAAAGUUUGCGGCUCAACCGUAAAAUUGCAGUUGAUACUGUCAGUCUUGAGUACAGUAGAGGUGGGCGGAAUUCGUGGUGUAGCGGUGAAAUGCUUAGAUAUCACGAAGAACUCCGAUUGCGAAGGCAGCUCACUGGACUGCAACUGACACUGAUGCUCGAAAGUGUGGGUAUCAAACAGGAUUAGAUACCCUGGUAGUCCACACAGUAAACGAUGAAUACUCGCUGUUUGCGAUAUACAGUAAGCGGCCAAGCGAAAGCAUUAAGUAUUCCACCUGGGGAGUACGCCGGCAACGGUGAAACUCAAAGGGAUUGACGGGGGCCCGCACAAGCGGAGGAACAUGUGGUUUAAUUCGAUGAUACGCGAGGAACCUUACCCGGGCUUAAAUUGCAGUGGAAUGAUGUGGAAACAUGUCAGUGAGCAAUCACCGCUGUGAAGGUGCUGCAUGGUUGUCGUCAGCUCGUGCCGUGAGGUGUCGGCUUAAGUGCCAUAACGAGCGCAACCCUUAUCUUCAGUUACUAACAGGUCAUGCUGAGGACUCUGGAGAGACUGCCGUCGUAAGAUGUGAGGAAGGUGGGGAUGACGUCAAAUCAGCACGGCCCUUACGUCCGGGGCUACACACGUGUUACAAUGGGGGGUACAGAAGGCAGCUAGCGGGUGACCGUAUGCUAAUCCCAAAAUCCUCUCUCAGUUCGGAUCGAAGUCUGCAACCCGACUUCGUGAAGCUGGAUUCGCUAGUAAUCGCGCAUCAGCCACGGCGCGGUGAAUACGUUCCCGGGCCUUGUACACACCGCCCGUCAAGCCAUGGGAGCCGGGGGUACCUGAAGUACGUAACCGCAAGGAUCGUCCUAGGGUAAAACUGGUGACUGG
RNAcentral lists this ribosomal RNA (1423 nucleotides) under uncultured organism. RNAcentral describes it as "16S ribosomal RNA". It matches the Rfam family "Bacterial small subunit ribosomal RNA". The record is from RNAcentral.